UUUGUAUGGUUCCCUUUUAAAAGACUCACAGACUGAUGGUCCAUGUCAGGAAUCGUUUUUUAAGCAGACACCUGACGCGAUCACGGAUAAGAGUGAAGACCUCUUCUUGCCAGAAGAGCUCAUUCCAGUCGAUCACCUGGCAGAGUUUAAGAGACAUUUGCCUACACUGAGAGUCAAGUUGUCCAGAUUGAGGAUGCUUCCUGUAGCUGACCCGCUGCUGAGCUCAUCAGGAAAUUCCAUCUCAGAAGACAACAUGUUCAGCUGUUUCAAGCACUGUGCAUCUUAUGAAAAACCGGCAGAUGUGGACACCACUAAUGUUCAGACAUGCGUAGACAUUCAAGAGGAGUUUGUUAAACAGCCACUCACGAACGGAGAGUUGCUGCUGUUGCCUGCUGUAGUGGAGACUCUUCAGCUGAGC
This is a long non-coding RNA of Astatotilapia calliptera (eastern happy), 418 nucleotides long. The record is from Ensembl. NCBI's taxonomy places the organism in Eukaryota, Metazoa, Chordata, Actinopteri, Cichliformes, Cichlidae.